Molecule: ribosomal RNA, 194 nt
Filed under: uncultured bacterium
Lineage: Bacteria
Description: partial 16S ribosomal RNA
Rfam family: Bacterial small subunit ribosomal RNA
Source: RNAcentral
CCUACGGGAGGCAGCAGUGGGGAAUUUUGGACAAUGGGCGCAAGCCUGAUCCAGCCAUGCCGCGUGAGUGAAGAAGGCCUUCGGGUUGUAAAGCUCUUUCGGCCGGGAAGAAAUCGUGUUCUCUAACAUAGGACAUGGAUGACGGUACCGGAAUAAGAAGCACCGGCUAACUACGUGCCAGCAGCCGCGGUAAU